This is a long non-coding RNA of Octopus bimaculoides (California two-spot octopus), 861 nucleotides long. Lineage: Eukaryota; Metazoa; Mollusca; Cephalopoda; Octopoda; Octopodidae. The record is from RefSeq and is a predicted model, not a curated record.
UGGGUUGGAUAAAUAUAUUACUGAGGCAAUAUUUGACAGUCAGUUACCCUCCUUGUCACAAACCCUUCCCUUUUUCUCAGUUUUGGGUUAUCUAAUUUCACAGAUCUUUGAAGAUUACCAUUUGACAGGGGAAAUGACAGAAAUGUCACUGCAAUAGGAAUAAUUUAUACCCUAAUGUGAACAACAUCAGCAACUUUCCAUCUUUAUGGUCACGACAACAGAAUGGUAUGUCAGUAUAUGUGUGUUGACAGACAUAACGAACAGCUGGAGGUAAAACUCUUGACAAAAAACAAUGAGGUGGCAGGUCUAAGGCAUGGUUCAGCACAGGCAUGGCUAUGUGGUUAAGAAGUUUGCUUCCCAACCACAUAGUUUCAAGUUCAGUCCUACUGCACAGCACCAUUGGCAAGUGUCUUCUACUACAACUCUGCCCUCAGUGGACCAAAACCUUAUAAGCGAAUUUGGUAGACAGAAAGUGAAAGUACCUCAUUCUCUGUGUGUGUGUAUGUGUGCAUGUGUGUGUGUGCGUGUGUGUGUGCACGCAUGUGUGUGUGCACGCAUGCAUGUGUGUGUGUGCAUGCACACGUAUAUGUGUGCGCACGCAUGCGCAUAUGUGUGUGCACGUGCUUGUCUGUGCGCACAUGAAUGUAUUUGUCCUUGUCUUGACAUUGCCUGUUAGUUGUAAAUGAUUAUCCCUGUCAUAAAAGCAAUGUCAUCCAUUUCCAAUAUUUUGCAAAAAUAUGUCUGGCCAUGAGGAAUAUUAUAUUUAUCUUGCAUAUUGAGCUUAAUAUAUCUACAUACCCAUCUAUCUAUCUAUAUCAACCUACAUAUGUAAGUAUGUAUCUCUCUAUCUGUCUUUUUUAA